UCCCGGUUGGCCCGGGCAGUCUCGCCUGAAAUUGCAACAGACAAUAAGGGUUGCGCUCGUUGCGGGACUUAACCCAACAUCUCACGACACGAGCUGACGACGGCCAUGCAACACCUGUCACUGGGCUCCUUGCGGCACCCCCUCGUUUCUGAGGGGUUCCCAGGAUGUCAAGCCUUGGUAAGGUUCUUCGCGUAGCAUCGAAUUAAACCACAUGCUCCACCGCUUGUGCGGGUCCCCGUCAAUUCCUUUGAGUUUUAAGCUUGCGCUCGUACUCCCCAGGCGGGAUGCUUAACGCGUUAGCUUCGCAGCCCAAGGGGUCGAUACCUCGAACUACUAGCAUCCAUCGUUUACGGCGUGGACUAC
Molecule: unclassified non-coding RNA, 363 nt
Filed under: uncultured bacterium
Lineage: Bacteria
Description: contains 16S-23S intergenic spacer region
Source: RNAcentral